GAUGAACGCUGGCGGCGUGCCUAACACAUGCAAGUCGAGCGAUUUACUUCGGUAAAGAGCGGCGGACGGGUGAGUAACGCGUGGGUAACCUGCCCUGUACACACGGAUAACAUACCGAAAGGUAUGCUAAUACGAGAUAAAAUACUUUUAUCGCAUGGUAGAAGUAUCAAAGUUUUUGCGGUACAGGAUGGACCCGCGUCUGAUUAGCUAGUUGGUAAGGUAACGGCUUACCAAGGCGACGAUCAGUAGCCGACCUGAGAGGGUGAUCGGCCACAUUGGAACUGAGACACGGUCCAAACUCCUACGGGAGGCAGCAGUGGGGAAUAUUGCACAAUGGGCGAAAGCCUGAUGCAGCAACGCCGCGUGAGCGAUGAAGGCCUUCGGGUCGUAAAGCUC
This 396-nucleotide ribosomal RNA is filed under the name uncultured bacterium. Its description in RNAcentral is "bacterial SSU rRNA". It matches the Rfam family "Bacterial small subunit ribosomal RNA", at positions 28 to 433 of the family's 1533-position model. The record is from RNAcentral.